This 743-nucleotide ribosomal RNA is filed under the name Salmonella enterica subsp. enterica serovar Kentucky. RNAcentral describes it as "partial 23S ribosomal RNA". It matches the Rfam family "Bacterial large subunit ribosomal RNA", at positions 811 to 1554 of the family's 2925-position model. The record is from RNAcentral. Lineage: Bacteria; Pseudomonadati; Pseudomonadota; Gammaproteobacteria; Enterobacterales; Enterobacteriaceae.
GUGGCUGGGGGUGAAAGGCCAAUCAAACCGGGAGAUAGCUGGUUCUCCCCGAAAGCUAUUUAGGUAGCGCCUCGUGAACUCAUCUUCGGGGGUAGAGCACUGUUUCGGCUAGGGGGUCAUCCCGACUUACCAACCCGAUGCAAACUGCGAAUACCGAAGAAUGUUAUCACGGGAGACACACGGCGGGUGCUAACGUCCGUCGUGAAGAGGGAAACAACCCAGACCGCCAGCUAAGGUCCCAAAGUCACAGUUAAGUGGGAAACGAUGUGGGAAGGCUCAGACAGCCAGGAUGUUGGCUUAGAAGCAGCCAUCAUUUAAAGAAAGCGUAAUAGCUCACUGGUCGAGUCGGCCUGCGCGGAAGAUGUAACGGGGCUAAACUGUGCACCGAAGCUGCGGCAGCGACGCUUAUGCGUUGUUGGGUAGGGGAGCGUUCUGUAAGCCUGCGAAGGUGUCCUGUGAGGGAUGCUGGAGGUAUCAGAAGUGCGAAUGCUGACAUAAGUAACGAUAAUGCGGGUGAAAAGCCCGCUCGCCGGAAGACCAAGGGUUCCUGUCCAACGUUAAUCGGGGCAGGGUGAGUCGACCCCUAAGGCGAGGCCGAAAGGCGUAGUCGAUGGGAAACGGGUUAAUAUUCCCGUACUUGGUGUUACUGCGAAGGGGGGACGGAGAAGGCUAUGUUGGCCGGGCGACGGUUGUCCCGGUUUAAGCGUGUAGGCUGGUUUUCCAGGCAAAUCCGGAAAAUCAAG